Molecule: long non-coding RNA, 212 nt
Filed under: Elaeis guineensis (African oil palm)
Lineage: Eukaryota; Viridiplantae; Streptophyta; Magnoliopsida; Arecales; Arecaceae
Description: long non-coding RNA (EGUI_LNC012458)
Source: RNAcentral
AGAGAGUUUAGAAUGACAUCCUUCCCCAACUGUUCAUGAAAGAGAAAGCCGAGCUUGCUUAAGCGCUCAAUUAUCCCGAUCAUGUACAGUAUAUGAUCAGUGACUAAUGCUCCUUCCCUCAUUCGAGCAUUGAAGAUGGCACAACUUAUCUUGUGCCUCUCAACAUUGUUGGACGUCCCAAAAGAUUCAUUCAAUAUUUGUAACAUGUCCUG